GAUAGAUAUUAAUUUAAAAUAUCUAAUCUAAGAAUAUAAGGGUAGAGCUUUAUCAUUCAAUAAUAAAUGAAAUAUAAGUUAAUAAGUAUUUAUUUUGAUAAUUAGGUUUUUUAGUGGCCAUAUUUUUAAAGUGUUUUAACUAAUAUAAUUGAAUAAUUUAUUUAUUAGAUUUUAUUAAAUUAAUAAUAUGUUUUUUAAAAUGGAUAAAUAUUAGAAAUAAUGAAAAUAUUAGUAGAAUUAAUAUAUGAGAAAAAAGAAAAGUAUUAAAAGUAAAAUAUGAAAAUAGUUAAGAAAAAAAUAGAGGAACUCGGCAAAUAAGGUUCUUGCCUGUUUAACAAAAACAUGUCUCUAUGAAGUUAUAUGAAGUCUGACCUGCCCAUUGAAAUUUAUUAAAAGGCCGCGGUAUAUUAACUGUGCAAAGGUAGCAUAAUUAGUAGUUUUUUAAUUGAAGGCUUGUAUGAAAGGUUGGACAAGGGAUAAGCUGUCUUUAUUUUUAUUUUUGAAUUUGUCUUUUAAGUGAAAAGACUUAAAUAAGUUUAAGGGACGAUAAGACCCUAUAAAUCUUUAUAUUAGUUUAAUUUUAUUUUAAAUUUUAAUGUUUAAAAGAGUAAAGUUAAUAUAGUAUUGUAUUGGGGUGAUAGGAAUAAUUAGUAAACUGUUCGAAGGUAUAAACAAAAAUAUUUGAUUAUAAUUAUUAGUAGAUCCUUAGUGGAGAUUACAAGUUUAAGUUACUUUAGGGAUAACAGCGUUAUUUUUUUUGAGAGUUCUAAUCGAAAAAGAAGUUUGCGACCUCGAUGUUGAAUUAAAAUUUCUUUGUGGUGUAGUAGUUACAAGAGAGAGUCUGUUCGACUUUUAAAAUUUU
RNAcentral lists this ribosomal RNA (862 nucleotides) under Allogalathea elegans. RNAcentral describes it as "partial 16S ribosomal RNA". The stretch from base 739 to 862 matches the Rfam family "Bacterial large subunit ribosomal RNA", at positions 2473 to 2597 of the family's 2925-position model. Lineage: Eukaryota; Metazoa; Arthropoda; Malacostraca; Decapoda; Galatheidae. The record is from RNAcentral.